Molecule: long non-coding RNA, 2462 nt
Organism: Oncorhynchus gorbuscha (pink salmon)
Lineage: Eukaryota; Metazoa; Chordata; Actinopteri; Salmoniformes; Salmonidae
Exons: 5
Source: RefSeq, a predicted model, not a curated record
GUGUGAGAGAGAAAGUGAGUUGUAUCUCAUAGUUGAAACCAAUACUUUUCUCAGGGCAGGUCUGCCGGUUUUAACUAGCAGAAGUUAGUUUUCUUAGCAGGUUAGGAUAAUUAGGUAAAGGUAAAAUGCUAACAAUGUCCCCGAUGCGACUGGUAUCUAUGUACAACAAUGCCUGCCCUGAGAACAGACUUAAUUUUCCACUAUGCGAUGCUCCGGGCCAAACGGUCUGUGAGGGAUGACUCAAGAGGAAAUUAGCUUUCUGUUCUACUCGAGCUAUUUUAUUUAGCAUUUUCGUGGAAAAGUCGCCUAAAUACGUUUGAGCAGCUGCUAGUUUAGGCAUGGAGGGUCUUCAAGAUGCAAUUAAACACCAAUUGCCCGAGUUGGAGACCGAGAUGGGGAGAUCUUUGUCGGAGCAUCUGAGGGCAAAUUUUGGAGUGGAGAAUAUUAACAACCUUGAAUAUGUUCAGCCGGAGGACAUAAAAUACCAUUUGAUGCCAAUAUAGUGCCUGGAAUUGCUUCAGUCCUUCAACCAAAGAGGUGAGAUCAUGAUUCAUAAAUGUAACACAUUUAUUUUAUUGUUAUGAAAAAAGGAGGUAACCAUUUUAGGUUCUAGAUAUUUGGCUGUCCCCGUAAGAGAACCCUUUGAAGAUCCCUUUUUUAAAAUCCCAUGUAUAUGUAUAACCAUUUUGGUUCCAGAUAGAAGUCUUAUGGGUUCUAUGUAAAAAAAACUUUCCACAGAGGGUUCUACCUGGAACCAAAAAGGGUUCUCCUAUGGGGAAAGCUAAAGAACCCAUUCGGAGUCCUUUUUUCUAAGAGUGCAAAUUCACACACAAGGUUAAAAAGGUUCUGUAAAUAGUUAGUUUGUUUGACCUCAAAAUCAAUGGAUUAUGCUAUAAUGGAGCGAGGCAUAUGCAAUAAAAGGUAUGGAAAUGACAAAAAUACAUAAGUACAAAAAUAUACAAAUGUUUCUGUUAAUUGUUUGUCCUCUUGUGCUGGUAUGGAGUGCAGCGCAUAGCCUAACAGUUUUUUUUCUUUGUAUUAAAAAAACCCAUGAAAAUUAAGAAUGGAUAGGAUCUGUAACAAUGGAUAGUACACUUGUCCUCCUCCAAACAUCAGUGACCUCUAAUAACAGUGGCCUUUGCUUUUCACCAAGUUAUGACUAUGCGACUACUUCAAUACCCUCACUGGCAUCGUGAUUGACAGUCGCCUGACUCAAGCUCUCCUGAACAAGGGUAAGAGAAUUGUCAACUUUUUAAAAUGCCAAAAGAUCAAGUUGAGAAGAGGGAUCUAGUGCCUGCUGAAUGAAAUCGACGGUUACAUCAAAGGCAAUGACAAUCUAACAGCCACUGAUGUUAGACUCUCUUCCUCUUGGCAGAUGUAAGGAAUAGUGUUUUUAUACUUAUAAAGUUUAUAUGAUUAAUUGUGUUUAUACUGUACUAUUUUUACACAUGAUUUUAAUAUUUUUUUAAUAUGUUUUGUGAUUUUAGGUCACUGCAACUCGGGUUGACGUCGAGGCGCAAAUUCCUUUGCCAGACACACCAAGGCUGAUCAUGCUUGGAAAUACUCUAUUGGGUUCCUCAAAAUGGAUGGUGUCGAUCGAGGGGAGAGUGGUCUGUGUUAUGGACAGUGAGUCCAACUUUGUUGCUGCCCUCUGUGCUCUUCAGCACUUUCUAUGAAUUUAACAUAGAAUACCAGGAGUCAGUCUCUGCAACCUUGGAGCUGAUACAGAGGAACCAAAUGCACAGCGAAAGCAGGAGUGAGCCGCAAAACCGGAAAGGUCGUUCAGAGGAAGCCAUUGCCAAUUGACCCACAUGUUAAUUAUUAAGUGCUUUCUCGCAGACCUGAAGGAGUUUGAGUGGAAAAACUCCAACAUGAAAUCCUGCCAUGCGGUUUGGGUCAGCAAAUGAUCUUCUUGCGCCAUCCUGGAGCCUGUGUUGGCUUGCAGUAGCGUGCUUCUCUGGCUCCAGUCAAGCCCUGCUCGCUCCUCUCUAUCAUCCUUCUCUCUCAGCCCCUUUCCCUCUCGAUCUCUCUCUCUCUCUCUCUCUCUCUCUCUCUCUCUCUCUCUCUCUCUCUCUCUCUCUCUCACAGGCAAGCAGUUCUUGUUUUAGUUUUUUGUGAAAACUAAACUGUUUUCCUAUUUUUCAAUGAUCUGUUUAGAUUAUUAUUCUCUUUUUCUUUUCUUUUUACAUAAUCCUGUAUUUUCAAGAAUGACCUAUUCUGAUGUCUUGGUUUGUGUAUGGUGAAGUACAUUAUUGGCCAGUAUUUGUCAAUGUUCUUAUCACUGUAUCUCUGUCUCUUUCUCUCCCCUACUAUCUGGAGUUGUAAUGUUGCUCUUUUCAAAUGUUGUUUUUGUGGUUAAAGUGCAAUUCAUGUUAUGAAUUUGAAUAAGUAUAUAUAUUUGUACACAUAUUGUUUUUCUUACAAUAUUACAAUUCAGGGAGCUGUCUUAAGCCAACCUGCAA